This is a small nucleolar RNA of Dioscorea cayenensis subsp. rotundata (Guinea yam), 107 nucleotides long. NCBI's taxonomy places the organism in Eukaryota, Viridiplantae, Streptophyta, Magnoliopsida, Dioscoreales, Dioscoreaceae. The record is from RefSeq and is a predicted model, not a curated record.
AAGCCACGAUGGGGGCAUCUUUGAAAGAGGUCUUUGAAUAUCUCAUAUGCUUCAAAUAAUAUUUCGACCCUCCUUGCUUAAACGCUAAAAAUUUCUUGCCUUAGUUU